UUCCAGACUCCUACGGGAGGCAGCAGUGAGGAAUAUUGGUCAAUGGGCGCGAGCCUGAACCAGCCAAGUCGCGUGAGGGAUGAAGGAUCUAUGGUUCGUAAACCUCUUUUAUAAGGGAAUAAAGUGCGGGACGCGUCCCGCUUCGCAUGUACCUUAUGAAUAAGGAUCGGCUAACUCCGUGCCGGCAGCCGCGGUAAUACGGAGGAUCCGAGCGUUAUCCGGAUUUAUUGGGUUUAAAGGGUGCGCAGGCGGAGGUGCAAGUCAGCGGUCAAAUUGCGGGGCUCAACCCCGUACUGCCGUUGAAACUGCAUCCCUUGAGUGCGCGAGAAGUAUGCGGAAUGCGUGGUGUAGCGGUGAAAUGCAUAGAUAUCACGCAGAACUCCGAUUGCGAAGGCAGCAUACCGGCGCGCAACUGACGCUCAUGCACGAAAGCGUGGGUAUCGAACAGGAUUAGAUACCCGUGUAC
RNAcentral lists this ribosomal RNA (466 nucleotides) under uncultured bacterium. RNAcentral's name for it is "bacterial SSU rRNA". It matches the Rfam family "Bacterial small subunit ribosomal RNA", at positions 329 to 793 of the family's 1533-position model. The record is from RNAcentral.